AUUGAACGCUGGCGGCAGGCCUAACACAUGCAAGUCGAGCGGUAACAGGGAUCAGCUUGCUGAUUCGCUGACGAGUGGCGGACGGGUGAGUAAUGUCUGGGAAACUGCCUGAUGGAGGGGGAUAACUACUGGAAACGGUAGCUAAUACCGCAUAACGUCGCAAGACCAAAGAGGGGGACCUUCGGGCCUCUUGCCAUCGGAUGUGCCCAGAUGGGAUUAGCUAGUAGGUGGGGUAAAGGCUCACCUAGGCGACGAUCCCUAGCUGGUCUGAGAGGAGGACCAGCCACACGGGAACUGAGACACGGUCCAGACUCCUACGGGAGGCAGCAGUGGGGAAUAUUGCACAAUGGGCGCAAGCCUGAGGCAGCCAUGCCGCGUGUAUGAAGAAGGCCUUCGGGUUGUAAAGUACUUUCAGCGGGGAGGAAGGGAGUAAAGUUAAUACCUUUGCUCAUUGACGUUACCCGCAGAAGAAGCACCGGCUAACUCCGU
RNAcentral lists this ribosomal RNA (489 nucleotides) under uncultured bacterium. RNAcentral describes it as "partial 16S ribosomal RNA". It matches the Rfam family "Bacterial small subunit ribosomal RNA", at positions 30 to 506 of the family's 1533-position model. The record is from RNAcentral.